Neoarius graeffei (lesser salmon catfish) is the source of this 239-nucleotide long non-coding RNA. RefSeq lists it as uncharacterized. Lineage: Eukaryota; Metazoa; Chordata; Actinopteri; Siluriformes; Ariidae. The record is from RefSeq and is a predicted model, not a curated record. The transcript has 3 exons.
UCAGAGAACAGGCACCCAACGGAGAGACAAGUCUACCAUUAAUGCACCAAAGAUCCAGCUGAUUUCUGGAAAUUUGGAGGAGGAUUCUUCUUCUGCUACGUUACACUGUCACUUCAGAUUCAUUGACCUUUUGUGUGUGGGACAACAUUUCUCUUUCAAAACUACAGCAAUUGGUCUCCUCAGUUCCCAAACGUUUACAGAGCGUUGUUCAAAGAAGAGGUGAUGCAACACAGUGGUAA